CCUACGGGCGGCAGCAGUGGGGAAUAUUGGACAAUGGGCGAAAGCCUGAUCCAGCCAUGCCGCGUGUGUGAUGAAGGCCUUCGGGUUGUAAAGCACCUUCAGUGGGGAAGAAAGCCUUGGGGCUAAUACCCUCGAGGAAGGACAUCACCCACAGAAGAAGCACCGGCUAACUCCGUGCCAGCAGCCGCGGUAAUACGGAGGGUGCGAGCGUUAAUCGGAAUUACUGGGCGUAAAGCGCGCGUAGGCGGUCUGAUAAGCCGGUUGUGAAAGCCCCGGGCUCAACCUGGGAACGGCAUCCGGAACUGUCAGGCUAGAGUGCAGGAGAGGAAGGUAGAAUUCCCGGUGUAGCGGUGAAAUGCGUAGAGAUCGGGAGGAAUACCAGUGGCGAAGGCGGCCUUCUGGACUGACACUGACGCUGAGGUGCGAAAGCGUGGGUAGCAAACAGGAUUAGAUACCCGGGUAGUC
This 465-nucleotide ribosomal RNA is filed under the name Vreelandella stevensii. RNAcentral's name for it is "partial 16S ribosomal RNA". It matches the Rfam family "Bacterial small subunit ribosomal RNA", at positions 338 to 795 of the family's 1533-position model. The record is from RNAcentral. Lineage: Bacteria; Pseudomonadati; Pseudomonadota; Gammaproteobacteria; Oceanospirillales; Halomonadaceae.